This 85-nucleotide transfer RNA is filed under the name Felis catus (domestic cat). It matches the Rfam family "tRNA". Rfam says of the family: Transfer RNA (tRNA) molecules are approximately 80 nucleotides in length. Their secondary structure includes four short double-helical elements and three loops (D, anti-codon, and T loops). Further hydrogen bonds mediate the characteristic L-shaped molecular structure. tRNAs have two regions of fundamental functional importance: the anti-codon, which is responsible for specific mRNA codon recognition, and the 3' end, to which the tRNAs corresponding amino acid is attached (by aminoacyl-tRNA synthetases). tRNAs cope with the degeneracy of the genetic code in two manners: having more than one tRNA (with a specific anti-codon) for a particular amino acid; and 'wobble' base-pairing, i.e. permitting non-standard base-pairing at the 3rd anti-codon position. RNAcentral also lists the same sequence under 4 other names. Lineage: Eukaryota; Metazoa; Chordata; Mammalia; Carnivora; Felidae. The record is from Rfam by way of RNAcentral.
GCCUGGGUGGCUUAGUCGGUUAAGCAUCUGACUUCAGCUCAGGUCAUGAUCUCAUGGUUCGUGGGUUUGAGCCUCAUGUUGGGCU